Molecule: ribosomal RNA, 329 nt
Filed under: uncultured eukaryote
Lineage: Eukaryota
Description: partial 18S ribosomal RNA
Rfam family: Eukaryotic small subunit ribosomal RNA
Source: RNAcentral
CCCUUAGAUGUUCUGGGCCGCACGCGCGCUACGCUGAUGCAUUCAACGAGUCUAAAACCUGCUCUGAUAGGGGUGGGUAAUCUUUUGAAUGUGCAUCGUGAUUGGGAUAGAUGAUUGCAAUUUUUCAUCUUCAACGAGGAAUGCCUAGUAAACGCAAGUCAUCAGCUUGCAUUGAUUACGUCCCUGCCCUUUGUACACACCGCCCGUCGCUCCUACCGAUUGAAUGAUCCGAUGAAUAUCAUGGAUUGAGGAUGCAAGUAGGUUAGCCUAUCUUCAUCUUCGAGAAGUGAAGUAAAUCUUAUCAUUUAGAGGAAGGAGAAGUCGUAACA